This 269-nucleotide ribosomal RNA is filed under the name uncultured Lachnospiraceae bacterium. RNAcentral's name for it is "partial 16S ribosomal RNA". It matches the Rfam family "Bacterial small subunit ribosomal RNA", at positions 59 to 339 of the family's 1533-position model. The record is from RNAcentral. Lineage: Bacteria; Bacillati; Bacillota; Clostridia; Lachnospirales; Lachnospiraceae.
UUGAAGCCUAGCGAUAUGUAAGUUAGUGGCGGACGGGUGAGUAACGCGUGGGUAACCUGCCUUGUACUGGGGGACAACAGUUGGAAACGACUGCUAAUACCGCAUAAGCGCACGGUACCGCAUGGUACAGUGUGAAAAACUCCGGUGGUGUGAGAUGGAUCCGCAUCUGAUUAGCUAGUUGGUGAGAUAACAGCCCACCAAGGCGACGAUCAGUAGCCGACCUGAGAGGGUGACCGGCCACAUUGGGACUGAGACACGGCCCAAACUCC